RNAcentral lists this ribosomal RNA (466 nucleotides) under uncultured bacterium. Its description in RNAcentral is "partial 16S ribosomal RNA". It matches the Rfam family "Bacterial small subunit ribosomal RNA", at positions 28 to 507 of the family's 1533-position model. The record is from RNAcentral.
GAUGAACGCUGGCGGCGUGCUUAACACAUGCAAGUCGAACGGAAAGGCUCCUGCUUGCAGGGGUACUCGAGUGGCGAACGGGUGAGUAACACGUGGGUGAUCUGCCCUGCACUUCGGGAUAAGCCUGGGAAACUGGGUCUAAUACCGGAUAGGACGAUGGGUUGGAUGCCAUUGUGGAAAGUUUUUUCGGUGUGGGAUGAGCUCGGGGGCUAUCAGCUUCUCGGUGGGGUAAUGGCCUAACAAGGCGGCGACGGGUAGGCGGCCUGAGAGGGUGUACGGGCACAUUGGGACUGAGGGACGGCCCAGACUGGUACGGGAGGCAGCAGGGGGGAAUAUUGCACAAUGGGGGCGAGCCUGAUGCAGCGGCGCCGCGUGGGGGAUGACGGCCUUCGGGUUGUAAACUCCUUUCGCUAGGGACGAAGCGCAAGUGACGGUACCUGGAGAAGAAGCACCGGCUAACUACGUG